AUGAACGCUAGCUACAGGCUUAACACAUGCCAGUCGAGGGGAAACGACAUCGAAAGCUUGCUUUUGAUGGGCGUCGACCGGCGCACGGGUGAGUAACGCGUAUCCAACCUGCCCAUCACUUGGGAAUAACCUUGCGAAAGUAAGACUAAUACCCAAUGAUAUCCCACGAAGGCAUCGGAAUGGGAUUAAAGAUUUAUCGGUGAUGGAUGGGGAUGCGUCUGAUUAGCUUGUUGGCGGGGUAACGGCCCACCAAGGCAACGAUCAGUAGGGGUUCUGAGAGGAAGGUCCCCCACAUUGGAACUGAGACACGGUCCAAACUCCUACGGGAGGAAGCAGUGAGGAAUAUUGGUCAAUGGGCGAGAGCCUGAACCAGCCAAGUAGCGUGCAGGAAGACGGCCCUAUGGGUUGUAAACUGCUUUUAUAAGGGAAUAAAGUGGGUCACGUGUGACUUUUUGCAUGUACCUUAUGAAUAAGGACCGGCUAAUUCCGUG
This 491-nucleotide ribosomal RNA is filed under the name uncultured bacterium. RNAcentral describes it as "partial 16S ribosomal RNA". It matches the Rfam family "Bacterial small subunit ribosomal RNA", at positions 29 to 507 of the family's 1533-position model. The record is from RNAcentral.